Molecule: RNA transcript, 2193 nt
Organism: Armigeres subalbatus
Lineage: Eukaryota; Metazoa; Arthropoda; Insecta; Diptera; Culicidae
Gene name: tachykinins
Exons: 10
Source: RefSeq, a predicted model, not a curated record
AUUUGUGAAAAUGUUGCAGAGAAGAGCAUAUGUUAAUACAAGGAAAAACUACGGUGUGAGCUGCGCAUGGCGCGCGAAUUUCAUUUGGUGAACCCUCACUACCGACAGUCAUUGGUUUGGCGGCAGUUGGAAUCAAAAGUAAAAACUCAGGCUCCACCGGUGGUUGCUUUCAUUCGGUUAGGUCGUAUGCCACUGGUAGCAUGUUCUGUUCUGAUUGUGUAGUGUAGUGCUUGGUUCUUAUACACAUUAGAUACAGUGUCAGUGAAAGUUUAACUGGGCAGUAGAAGAGCCCGACGGUUUCAAGUAUUCACCACGUUCUGCAAAACAUAACCGGAGUAUAUUGAUGUGCACUUCACGGUGAACUUGCGUUGGGGAAGACGUCUUUGAACUUGAGCUGUAUUUGCAAUCAAUGAGCGUAAUGACUACGAUUGGGAUUGGAACUCUGGCACUAUUCAUAUUGAAUAUAUGCGUUAUUUAUGCAGAGCCAAACGCUGGAUCAAAAAUAACAAAGGUUAUACGUGACAAAAGAGAUAAUUAUUUUAGUGAUAACGUGGAACAUUUCUAUCCGAGCUUUAAUCAACUCGAUAAUGCAAUAACCACUGUAUUGCCGCUAUUGGACUCAGAUGGCACAUCGAAAGUGGUUACCGAUGCACCCGUUGACGACGAUGACGAUGAAGAUGACGCACUAGUUUCACAUUCGAUCAAUGAUAGAAUGCAUUAUUUUCGCGUAGCAUCAAAUAACCGGAUCAGGCCGAUAAUCCUUCCCAGCACUGAAGAAAAGCUGAUCUUGGAUUUGUACAAAGGCGAUUCUACUAACAAUGGUUUGGAUGCUCCAGAGAAAAAGUGGGAUCCCCUCUAUCCGAUUAAACUCAACCAGAAACGAGCUCCUUCCGGUUUUCUUGGCUUGCGAGGAAAAAAAUAUUACUACAAUGGGGAAAAGCGUGUACCUUCUGGAUUUACAGGAAUGCGAGGCAAAAAAUCGUACUACGACAUGAGUAACGAUGCUAACGAAAACUAUGGUCAGUUGGAAUCACCGAACGACGCUAACUAUAACGAGCUAUUGCAGAAAGAAAAUAGAUUGGUUGAUGAGUUGAAUCAAAUCUAUCAGAUGAUUCCAGAAAUAAGGAAAAAUCUUUUGAUUUCCGGUGUAAAUAUUCUUGAGCGUGCUGAAAAUAGAGAUUUCAUUGAAAGGUGCGGAAAAGAAAUAAGUGAACCUGGACGAAAAUAUGCUGAAGAAAAACGGGCACCAUCUGGAUUUUUAGGAUUACGCGGUAAACGAGAAAGCGAAGAAAGAAAGCGAAGCCCAUUCUCCAGUUACUUUGGAACACGAGGGAUAAAGGAACCAAUGAGGUUUGUCUCAAAAGCUUCGAGAUAUUAUGGAAGUCGGGGAAAAAAGUACAAAUACAUCGGAAGUUUUGUUGGCGUCAGAGGAAAAAGGUAUACGGGAGUAACGAAUUCUACAGCCAACUUGACAGGAUAAACUGGCCAAGCAAUGAGCUUCAACUAGAAAUCAAUCGAACGCCUCCCAAACGGGUGCCCAGUGGAUUUUUAGGACUACGAGGAAAAAAAUCAACAGGUGAAGAUAUGAAUUAUGGCGAAUGAACUGUUAAAUGAACUCUCAUUAUUACCUAGAUAAAUAAAAAUUAAUGUAAAGUGGACUCGCUCAAAUAUCAAGUAAUCUGUAUAUUUUCAAUCAUUGCGACUAAAAUAGGCUUGGCGCUUAGGUAAUUGUACUAUUGUCAGGUUAUUAAUUUAAAAAAUGUAGGUGGAUUAUAAAUUGCCCCAAAGUUGUAUACUAUUUUUAAAUGAUUGAAUAUUGCAUAUUCUGGAAAAUAUUUUCUCAAAAUAAAUUGGAAAAUUUAUGAAUAAAAGAUAGUUAGGUUAAAUUCGUUUUGAUAUAUUAGAGGUAAGUUCUGCUAGGACCGUACGUUUCAAAUUUAUUCUUUAUAUCUAAUCCAUAUGGACAGAAGAUUCAAGAACUACAAUUUAUUCAUUGAUAAACUCAAUGUGUUUAUAUCGACUUAUUUGAUUGUAUACAAUUUCAAAUAGCAAUGAGCAUAUAGUAUUAUUAUAUAUUGAAAACAUAUCACCGAAAAUUGUAAAUUGUGACAGGAAAAAGCUACAUGUAUAUUGUAGUAUUACGAUAGAAUAGUCAUACGAUCCAUAUUAAAUCUGAUAAUACAGAAAAUGAAA